Serinus canaria (Common canary) is the source of this 638-nucleotide long non-coding RNA. RefSeq lists it as uncharacterized. The transcript has 4 exons. The record is from RefSeq and is a predicted model, not a curated record. Lineage: Eukaryota; Metazoa; Chordata; Aves; Passeriformes; Fringillidae.
CCAUUUAAUUUACUGCCUGCAGGAAUUCCAAACUUAAUUGUGAGACUAUAAAAUGUUCAAGUAUUCUGCUUACUGAAUUCCUUUUACUGAAGUUCUGCAUGAAAUGAUUAAAUAUGCUUUCGAUCAGGAAGAGUGAGUGUGUCACUUGCUGAUGAGGGGACUCCCAAAGAAAAGGGUACUUUGCUUCCAGGCAAUACCAUACACCAUGAGAAACAGAAUGGUUUAUUGAAGAUGUACUGGUUCCGCUCGCCUGGAGAGAAGGUUUGGGAGCGCACUAUCAUGCUGUUCCUGACAAAGGGACGCUGUCUGCAGCUCCAGCUGGCUCUGUCCUUGGGUCGGACUGCUGUGUUCUCGUUAACCGACUCCUCAGUGUUAGUCUCUUUAUCAACCUAUGAACAGGAAUUUAAUGGAAAUAAAAAAUCCCGAACCACUAAACCGAAUGAAAGAACCCUCAUUGCAUUAAGCUCUGGCACAAUCCACAGCUUCUUAUGCUGCUGCUUCAUUAUGACCUGUGAAAACACUGCAAACUGAAGGUAUUCAUGAAACCUCAUUGAAGAAAUGAUAAUGCAACAACAGCACAAUAUUUUGAAAAUGGCAUGGCUCCUCCACUGAAAACAGAGAGGAGAAUCUCUCUCAUC